Non-coding RNA from Maylandia zebra (zebra mbuna), 862 nucleotides. Lineage: Eukaryota; Metazoa; Chordata; Actinopteri; Cichliformes; Cichlidae. The record is from RefSeq and is a predicted model, not a curated record.
CUGAGUCCGCUCUGGAGUGAAAUAAAGCUUGGUUUUGCCUUUGCUGAGUGAAACAGAACUUCGGUUUUGCCUUUGCUGGAUACUGAUCUGAUCGUCUCAAGUCUGGUGACCUGCUGCAGAAGAUCCUCUCUCUCUCUAUCAUUAUAAGCAAUUCUGUCUAUCCUAUCACUCUCCCAACUCUAUCUAAUUUGAAAGCCAUUCUAUCUUGUAUCCCUCUAUCUCUACCGCUCUAUCUAAUUUGAAAGCCAUUCUAUCUUGUAUCCCUCUAUCUCUACCGCUCUAUCUAAUUUGAAAGCCAUUCUAUCUUGUAUCCCUCUAUCUCUACCGCUCUAUCUAAUUUGAAAGCCAUUCUAUCUUGUAUCCCUCUCUCUACUGCUCUAUCUAAUUUGAAAGCCAUUCCAUCUUGUAUCCCUCUAUCUCUACUGCUCUAUCUAAUUUGAGAAUCCAAGUUUUCAGAAAUCCUUUUCAGAAUCCAAUCUAUCUGUUACAGAAUUCUGAGAGAUCUCUGCUCUCACUGCUCUUUCUUUCCUGUCUUUAAACUCUCUCACAUUCAGUCAUUUUGCUGGAAAUUACAAGUUGAAUAUACAGUAGUAGAAUUACAGUACAGUAGAACUUAUAGUAGAAACUACUUACACAGCCCUACAUUUGUCAUUUUAAUUUUGCAUUAGACUUUAGUUUGGACUGCUAGUUUGGCUUACUUUGAUCAAUUGUAUAAAAUAUCACCUUUUUAUAAGUUUAUUUGUAAUAAGAUAAUCUGGUUAUUUUGUAAUACAUACAUUCAGAUAAAUAAUAAAUUAGAUCCAGUCUGUUAGUCUGUUUCAUUGGCUAUAACAUUUGACUGCAAGUUUAUAGUAUUAUUAUU